Molecule: ribosomal RNA, 467 nt
Filed under: uncultured bacterium
Lineage: Bacteria
Description: partial 16S ribosomal RNA
Rfam family: Bacterial small subunit ribosomal RNA
Source: RNAcentral
GACGAACGCUGGCGGCGUGCUUAACACAUGCAAGUCGAACGGAAAGGCCCUGCUUUUGUGGGGUGCUCGAGUGGCGAACGGGUGAGUAACACGUGAGUAACCUGCCCUUGACUUUGGGAUAACUUCAGGAAACUGGGGCUAAUACCGGAUAGGAGCUCCUGCUGCAUGGUGGGGGUUGGAAAGUUUCGGCGGUUGGGGAUGGACUCGCGGCUUAUCAGCUUGUUGGUGGGGUAGUGGCUUACCAAGGCUUUGACGGGUAGCCGGCCUGAGAGGGUGACCGGCCACAGUGGGACUAAGAUACGGCCCAGACUCCUACGGGAGGCAGCAGGGGGGAAUAUUGCACAAUGGGCGGAAGCCUGAUGCAGCAACGCCGCGUGCGGGAUGACGGCCUUCGGGUUGUAAACCGCUUUCGCCUGUGACGAAGCGUGAGUGACGGUAAUGGGGAAAGAAGCACCGGCUAACUACGU